UACGUAGGGGGCAAGCGUUGUCCGGAUUUAUUGGGCGUAAAGAGCGUGUAGGCGGCCAGGUAGGUCAGCUGUGAAAACUCGAGGCUCAACCUCGAGACGUCGGUUGAAACCACCUGGCUAGAGUCCGGAAGAGGAGAGUGGAAUUCCUGGUGUAGCGGUGAAAUGCUCAGAUAUCAGGAAGAACACCCGUGGCGAAGGCGGCUCUCUGGGACGGUACUGACGCUGAGACGCGAAGGCGUGGGGAGCGAACGGG
RNAcentral lists this ribosomal RNA (253 nucleotides) under uncultured bacterium. RNAcentral's name for it is "partial 16S ribosomal RNA". It matches the Rfam family "Bacterial small subunit ribosomal RNA", at positions 524 to 776 of the family's 1533-position model. The record is from RNAcentral.